This 468-nucleotide ribosomal RNA is filed under the name uncultured bacterium. RNAcentral describes it as "partial 16S ribosomal RNA". It matches the Rfam family "Bacterial small subunit ribosomal RNA", at positions 28 to 507 of the family's 1533-position model. The record is from RNAcentral.
GACGAACGCUGGCGGCGUGCCUAACACAUGCAAGUCGAACGGAAAGGCCCUGCUUUUGUGGGGUGCUCGAGUGGCGAACGGGUGAGUAACACGUGAGUAACCUGCCCUUGACUUUGGGAUAACUUCAGGAAACUGGGGCUAAUACCGGAUAGGAGCUCCUGCUGCAUGGUGGGGGUUGGAAAGUUUCGGCGGUUGGGGAUGGACUCGCGGCUUAUCAGCUUGUUGGUGGGGUAGUGGCUUACCAAGGCUUUGACGGGUAGCCGGCCUGAGAGGGUGACCGGCCACAUUGGGACUGAGAUACGGCCCAGACUCCUACGGGAGGCAGCAGUGGGGAAUAUUGCACAAUGGGCGGAAGCCUGAUGCAGCAACGCCGCGUGCGGGAUGACGGCCUUCGGGUUGUAAACCGCUUUCGCCUGUGACGAGGCGUGAGUGACGGUAAUGGGUAAAGAAGCACCGGCUAACUACGUG